GACGAACGCUGGCGGCGUGCUUAACACAUGCAAGUCGAACGGAAAGGCCCUGCUUUUGUGGGGUGCUCGAGUGGCGAACGGGUGAGUAACACGUGAGUAACCUGCCCUUGACUUUGGGAUAACUUCGGGAAACUGGGGCUAAUACCGGAUAGGAGCUCCUGCUGCAUGGUGGGGGUUGGAAAGUUUCGGCGGUUGGGGAUGGACUCGCGGCUUAUCAGCUUGUUGCUGGGGUAGUGGCUUACCAAGGCUUUGACGGGUAGCCGGCCUGAGAGGGUGACCGGCCACAUUGGGACUGAGAUACGGCCCAGACUCCUACGGGAGGCAGCAGUGGGGAAUAUUGCACAAUGGGCGGAAGCCUGAUGCAGCAACGCCGCGUGCGGGAUGACGGCCUUCGGGUUGUAAACCGCUUUCGCCUGUGACGAAGCGUGAGUGACGGUAAUGGGUAAAGAAGCACCGGCUAACUACGUG
Molecule: ribosomal RNA, 468 nt
Filed under: uncultured bacterium
Lineage: Bacteria
Description: partial 16S ribosomal RNA
Rfam family: Bacterial small subunit ribosomal RNA
Source: RNAcentral